RNAcentral lists this ribosomal RNA (253 nucleotides) under uncultured bacterium. RNAcentral describes it as "partial 16S ribosomal RNA". It matches the Rfam family "Bacterial small subunit ribosomal RNA", at positions 524 to 776 of the family's 1533-position model. The record is from RNAcentral.
UACAGAGGGGGCGAGCGUUGUUCGGAAUUACUGGGCGUAAAGGGCGCGUAGGCGGCCUGCUAAGUCGGACGUGAAAUCCCUCGGCUCAACCGGGGAACUGCGUCCGAUACUGGCGGGCUUGAAUCCGGGAGAGGAAUGCGGAAUUCCAGGUGUAGCGGUGAAAUGCGUAGAUAUCUGGAGGAACACCGGUGGCGAAGGCGGCAUUCUGGACCGGCAUUGACGCUGAUGCGCGAAAGCGUGGGGAGCAAACGGG